UGGGGAAUCUUGCACAAUGGGGGAAACCCUGAUGCAGCGACGCCGCGUGAACGAUGAAGCCCUUCGGGGUGUAAAGUUCUUUCGACAGGAACGAUAAUGACGGUACCUGGAGAAGAAGCUGCGGCUAACUACGUGCCAGCAGCCGCGGUAAUACGUAGGCAGCGAGCGUUGUUCGGAGUUACUGGGCGUAAAGAGUGCGUAGGCGGCGAGCCAAGUUUGGUGUGAAAUCUCCCGGCUUAACCGGGAGGGUGCGCCGAAAACUGGUUGGCUGGAGUAUGGGAGAGGAUAGCGGAAUUCCUGGUGUAGCGGUGAAAUGCGUAGAUAUCAGGAGGAACACCGAUGGCGGAGGCAAUCCCCUGGGCCUGCACUGACGCUCAUGCACGAAAGCGUGGGGAGCAAACA
This 402-nucleotide ribosomal RNA is filed under the name uncultured bacterium. Its description in RNAcentral is "bacterial SSU rRNA". It matches the Rfam family "Bacterial small subunit ribosomal RNA", at positions 355 to 774 of the family's 1533-position model. The record is from RNAcentral.